GGCGACCUACGGGACGCAGCAGUGGGGAAUAUUGCACAAUGGGGGAAACCCUGAUGCAGCGACGCCGCGUGAGUGAAGAAGUGUUUCGGCACGUAAAGCUCUGUCAGCAGGGAAGAAAAUGACGGUACCUGACCAAGAAGCCCCGGCUAACUACGCGCCAGCAGCCGCGGUAAUACGGAGGAUGCGAGCGUUAUCCGGAUUUAUUGGGUUUAAAGGGUGCGCAGGCGGAAGAUCAAGUCAGCGGUAAAAUUGAGAGGCUCAACCUCUUCGAGCCGUUGAAACUGGUUUUCUUGAGUGAGCGAGAA
Molecule: ribosomal RNA, 305 nt
Filed under: uncultured bacterium
Lineage: Bacteria
Description: bacterial SSU rRNA
Rfam family: Bacterial small subunit ribosomal RNA
Source: RNAcentral